GACGAACGCUGGCGGCGUGCUUAACACAUGCAAGUCGAACGGAAAGGCCCUGCUUUUGUGGGGUGCUCGAGUGGCGAACGGGUGAGUAACACGGGAGUCACCUGCCCUUGACUUUGGGAUAACUUCAGGAAACUGGGGCUAAUACCGGCUAGGAGCUCCAGCUGCAUGGUGGGGGUUGGAACGUUUCGGCGGUUGGGGAUGGACUCGCGGCUUAUCAGCUUGUUGGUGGGGUAGUGGCUUACCAAGGCUUUGACGGGUAGCCGGCCUGAGAGGGUGACCGGCCACAUUGGGACUGAGAUACGGCCCAGACUCCUACGGGAGGCAGCAGUGGGGAAUAUUGCACAAUGGGCGGAAGCCUGAUGCAGCAGCGCCGCGUGCGGGAUGACGGCCUUCGGGUUGUAAACCGCUUUCGCCUGUGACGAAGCGUGAGUGACGGUAAUGGGUAAAGAAGCACCGGCUAACUACGUG
RNAcentral lists this ribosomal RNA (468 nucleotides) under uncultured bacterium. RNAcentral's name for it is "partial 16S ribosomal RNA". It matches the Rfam family "Bacterial small subunit ribosomal RNA", at positions 28 to 507 of the family's 1533-position model. The record is from RNAcentral.